Diabrotica virgifera virgifera (western corn rootworm) is the source of this 839-nucleotide long non-coding RNA. RefSeq lists it as uncharacterized. NCBI's taxonomy places the organism in Eukaryota, Metazoa, Arthropoda, Insecta, Coleoptera, Chrysomelidae. The record is from RefSeq and is a predicted model, not a curated record. The transcript is spliced from 2 exons.
UAGCAUGUAAACUUGUGGCAAGUUUGAUUCUUCUUUGAUUUUUCAUUGCUGCGUCAAAUAUGACGAGGCAAGUUUGUGACAAGUUUGCUGCAAUAUUGUUAUGACAAAGAUGAUUAUUCAAGUUUGUAGCAACUUAUUGCUUCAAGCUUAGCUUUGCACAGCCCGCUUCGAUUCGUUUUUCGUUCGGCACCCCGACUGAUGUCCAGCCCACGACAACGAAAGUGUUGCCACCCGGAGGGAAAUUUCUGUGUUUGCGAGAAUUUUCAACAUACAAUUGAAAAAGUUAUCUCAAAAGGGAAUUUUUGCUCCAGUCCAAAUUGCACAAUAUUUAAAAAAAUCAAAAUAUUUGAAAAUAAUUCAACAUAUUUUCGCAGAUUUUGUAAAUAGGAGCGAAUUUUUUCAUAAAAGUGAGAAUUUUUAAGGUAAGUUGAGGGACAAAGCUUACUUGAUGGCUGGCAACACGGGAAAAAUAAUCUGCUAGCGUACGCGGCUACGCGGUGAUAGUUUGUUGUUGUGGUUAUGUUGAUAUUUUUCUUCAAGUUUUUUACAACUUAAAUUUUCCGUACAAUUCUCCGAGACUAUUACCUUAAUUAUUAUUACUAAGCUGAAGCCUAUUUUCUUCAUUGUUAAUAGACCAAACUGCAUGCUUACUGCAUUACAGAUUAGUACCUACUCAUUUUGCUCUGGUCAACUCUGGUGGCAUUGAGGUAGAGAGCUGAUAGACAAAACCAAGCAUCGGAAUCUGAAGCUAGGGUGUUUAAUGUAAGUUCCAAUAAAUAAUUUUAUGCAAUAGAUUGUAUUUUAGUCGAGUGAUUAAUAAAUAGUUGUAUAAAAUGGUA